AGCGAACGCUGGCGGCAUGCUUAACACAUGCAAGUCGCACGGGCAGCAAUGUCAGUGGCGGACGGGUGAGUAACGCGUAGGUAUCUAUCCUUGGGUGGGGGACAACGGCUGGAAACGGCUGCUAAUACCGCAUGAUAACUGAGGUUUAAAGGCGCAAGUCGCCUGGGGAGGAGCCUGCGUACGAUUAGCUAGUUGGUGGGGUAAAGGCCUACCAAGGCAACGAUCGUAGCUGGUCUGAGAGGAUGAUCAGCCACAUUGGGACUGAGACACGGCCCAAACUCCUACGGGAGGCAGCAGUGGGGAAUAUUGGACAAUGGGCGAAAGCCUGAUCCAGCAAUGCCGCGUGUGUGAAGAAGGUCUUCGGAUUGUAAAGCACUUUCGACAGGGACGAUGAUGACGGUACCUGUAGAAGAAGCCCCGGCUAACUUCGUGCCAGCAGCCGCGGUAAG
This 449-nucleotide ribosomal RNA is filed under the name uncultured bacterium. RNAcentral describes it as "bacterial SSU rRNA". It matches the Rfam family "Bacterial small subunit ribosomal RNA", at positions 29 to 524 of the family's 1533-position model. The record is from RNAcentral.